This 194-nucleotide ribosomal RNA is filed under the name uncultured bacterium. RNAcentral describes it as "partial 16S ribosomal RNA". It matches the Rfam family "Bacterial small subunit ribosomal RNA", at positions 521 to 714 of the family's 1533-position model. The record is from RNAcentral.
UAAUACGAAGGGGGCUAGCGUUGCUCGGAAUCACUGGGCGUAAAGCGCACGUAGGCGGCUUUUUAAGUCAGGGGUGAAAUCCUGGAGCUCAACUCCAGAACUGCCUUUGAUACUGAGAAGCUUGAGUCCGGGAGAGGUGAGUGGAACUGCGAGUGUAGAGGUGAAAUUCGUAGAUAUUCGCAAGAACACCAGUG